UGUGCAGGCGGAAUGAUAAGUCAGUGGUGAAAGCCUACAGCUUAACUGUAGAAAUGCCAUUGAUACUGUCGUUCUUGAGUACAGUUGAAGUGGGCGGAAUGUGUCAUGUAGCGGUGAAAUGCAUAGAUAUGACACAGAACACCGAUAGCGAAGGCAGCUCACUAAGCUGAAACUGACGCUCAGGCACGAAAGCGUGGGGAGCAAACAGGAUUAGAUACCCUGGUAGUCC
Molecule: ribosomal RNA, 229 nt
Filed under: uncultured bacterium
Lineage: Bacteria
Description: partial 16S ribosomal RNA
Rfam family: Bacterial small subunit ribosomal RNA
Source: RNAcentral